RNAcentral lists this ribosomal RNA (492 nucleotides) under uncultured bacterium. Its description in RNAcentral is "partial 16S ribosomal RNA". It matches the Rfam family "Bacterial small subunit ribosomal RNA", at positions 29 to 507 of the family's 1533-position model. The record is from RNAcentral.
AGUGAACGCUGGCGGUAGGCCUAACACAUGCAAGUCGAACGGCAGCACAGUAAGAGCUUGCUCUUACGGGUGGCGAGUGGCGGACGGGUGAGGAAUACAUCGGAAUCUACUUUUUCGUGGGGGAUAACGUAGGGAAACUUACGCUAAUACCGCAUACGACCUACGGGUGAAAGCAGGGGAUCUUCGGACCUUGCGCGAUUGAAUGAGCCGAUGUCGGAUUAGCUAGUUGGCGGGGUAAAGGCCCACCAAGGCGACGAUCCGUAGCUGGUCUGAGAGGAUGAUCAGCCACACUGGAACUGAGACACGGUCCAGACUCCUACGGGAGGCAGCAGUGGGGAAUAUUGGACAAUGGGCGCAAGCCUGAUCCAGCCAUACCGCGUGGGUGAAGAAGGCCUUCGGGUUGUAAAGCCCUUUUGUUGGGAAAGAAAAGCAGCAGGUUAAUACCCCGCUGUUCUGACGGUACCCAAAGAAUAAGCACCGGCUCACUUCGUG